Long non-coding RNA from Zingiber officinale, 1401 nucleotides. RefSeq lists it as uncharacterized. NCBI's taxonomy places the organism in Eukaryota, Viridiplantae, Streptophyta, Magnoliopsida, Zingiberales, Zingiberaceae. The record is from RefSeq and is a predicted model, not a curated record. The transcript is spliced from 2 exons.
CUCUUUCUUAUGCGCGAACACCUCCCGAUUCAUCUCCCUCUCUCGAUUUACUCACCGUCGCCGCUCAAUCUAUCUUUUCCCGUCUCCGCCUGUUCUCCACCUCACGAGCAUCGCAGGCCGGUUUACGAUGAGCCUAAGCACCGACAUAGAUCUAUCAUUAUCUCCUUCGGGUUGUGCCCUACCCAUCUCCACUAUCGCUUUCCCUCUCGCCACUGCCUAAUGCUGUCGCUGCCGCUGCCACCCGAGGCCGCGCCAUCCUCCGUCGAUUGCUGGGCAUCGCUGUCGACCCUCUCCUCCUUAGACGACAGCUCGACCAGGGGUUAGGCGAUGCGCUGGCUGCGCACAAGUCUCACUGAGUCGAGCCCUAACCUCUCGGUAUGCUCCCGAUCCUUCUCAGUCGCCACCCUCCGCCUGAUCCAACGCCUCAGCCAUCACCUGGCACCAACGUCGACAUACGCCGACCACCAUCUCUAGUCAGGCACCGUCGACCCCACAGUAGACCACCUAUUCCUGGGAUUCCCUUCGAGAUAGUGCCCUAGUCAUCGCCACUUGCACUGCCGGUGAGUGGUUGUCUUGAGCAAAUUUUCUUCCUCACUGGGACUAGCUCCUCUUGCGUGUUCUUGUCAGGAUGAGCUCCAACAACGGCUUCACGGUCACAUACUCAUCAGCUAUUUACCUUUGUUUUGGUUGUGAGCUUGAUCUUGCUUCUACUGACCCAUUUAUUUUCGGAUUGACAAGGAGCAGUUCCAUCAGAUCACUGAUGAGGACUUUGAUUCGAGACGAGCUUCUCGAUCUGGGAGUUAUAUUGGCAUGAUCUACAUUUAAGGCGGGUACUUCUUGCUUUAUCUCUUUAGUACUGUGACCCUAGUGCAUUGAUGGACCUACACAUCUCUGAUUGGGGUCAUUUCAAGUUUUGUGAGUUUCUAGUAUUCCAAGGACUCCAACAGUAUUAUCCAUUAUUGAUUUAAAGAUCCCUAGGGGUGAUCAAACAUUAUGAAACAUCGCAGCCUUAUUUUGGGCCUAAUAUGCUGACCCGGAGCAGCUUCGCCCAGGCGGGUGCCUGGGGUGCCCUGGCGGUCCGGCCCCAGACCCGAAAAAUCAUCUAUAAGAUGAUGUGGAGUGCGUCGAGUCAUGUGGUCCAAGUGCCCAGAGGAGUUCCAAGCACCCGAAAUGGACCUAUUUAAAGGUCUUCGACCAAGAGCUUCAGAACAACAACUACUAUAAGUUUUUCUCCUGAUCGGUGCUCCGAAAAAGUUCCUACGAUGCUGUGAAGCUCCUCCGACAACUGUUGACCAAGACUUUUCAUAUUUUCUUUAUUGUCGGUAACUUUUAUUUCUAAUUCAUGUACUUAACUCUUGUAACACAUUUUGCAAACUAUUAGUGGAUUGUCUGACGAAAGUA